RNAcentral lists this ribosomal RNA (116 nucleotides) under Salvator merianae (Argentine black and white tegu). Lineage: Eukaryota; Metazoa; Chordata; Lepidosauria; Squamata; Teiidae. The record is from RNAcentral.
UCCUGCAUCCUUAAUAGCCCCUCAGGUUUAAGCUUGCCCCUUCCAUGUGAUCUCAGAAGCUAAGCAGAGUUAGUACCUGGAUAGGAGACCAAAAGGAAAUCCCAGAGCUGCAGGCU